Puntigrus tetrazona (Sumatra barb) is the source of this 421-nucleotide long non-coding RNA. RefSeq lists it as uncharacterized. The record is from RefSeq and is a predicted model, not a curated record. NCBI's taxonomy places the organism in Eukaryota, Metazoa, Chordata, Actinopteri, Cypriniformes, Cyprinidae. The transcript has 3 exons.
GGGUUGUGCUCCGGCGCGGAUGAAUCUAAUGUUUUGAGGUGAACGUGUAGCCGUCAGUCACCGCACCGGUGGGAACCCUACACUUACUAAUUACAGAUUCUAAAGUUUUGGAAUAUAUGACCCAGAUAAGAAUUUUGGCCGGAUAUUGUCAUCUGAACAAGUUUGCGUGUGUCUGAGAGACAGCGGUUUGGGGCCCGUUACAUAAUACGACGUACUUCACAAUGAUUGCACAUCCCAUAAAUAGAUCAGAUCACCUCAUAUAACCUGUCUUCACGACAACGCAUGAAGGUACUGACGAGCCAGACACACAGAGUCAAUGGUUCCCUGCACAUAGACGGUGGAUUUCUUCUGUGGGCAGUUGGGGUCUGGGAAGUGGACCUGUGCUCCUGUACGCUGCAUGAUGUGCUUGAUGUUGCUGCCG